GGGAGAGCUGCGCCCUGCGGUCCCCACCCGGCCUCUCCCCGGGGGUGUGGCCGCCGUCUGUUCGGUCACAGCCAGGCUGCGGCCUAAGUUGAGGUACAGGGGUCCUUUGCUGGCCCCAGAUGUGGACAGUAUCCUCUCGAAUGCCCACCACUGGGAACCCUUAAGUCCCUCAAGAUCUUUCCUCAGCCUCGGCCAGUCCUAUCUCAGCAGUAGUGGCCGGUGUUAAGUAUGGUGCCUAGAAAAUUACAGACUAUUCCAGACCAGGAAGGAAAGUUGACUUCAUCUUCAGAUACUCAGGCUCCAGCCUGGAGACAUCUCAUCUCUCCUCUGUCACUCCUUCCCCAUUAUUAAAGUUUGUGGAUGUUCCUUAGAGUCUCCCAGACCUGUCUUGGCUUUAAGGCUGUUACGAAGAAUGCAGAUGAACAGCAUUCGUGGAAAAGAUGCACGGAGCGAGGCCUGUGGGGAGGGGAGCAGAGCUUCCAUGCCCUCCCUGCAUGCACCACCCUCCAGGAACCUCCACAUGUUCAGCUGUCUGGAAGCUCUUCCGAACCCUGUCCAUUUGAACUGUUAUGGAGGCUUCAUUACAUAGUGAUUCGGAGUGUGUCAAGGACCUGGUUAAUCAUGGAAUGAGGUUCCCUAAAGACAAAACACGUCAGGCCAGGCAUAAUGGCUCACACCUAUAAUCUCAGCACUUUGGGAGGCCA
RNAcentral lists this long non-coding RNA (704 nucleotides) under Homo sapiens (human). Its description in RNAcentral is "HSALNT0382441". The record is from RNAcentral. Lineage: Eukaryota; Metazoa; Chordata; Mammalia; Primates; Hominidae.